RNAcentral lists this ribosomal RNA (448 nucleotides) under uncultured bacterium. Its description in RNAcentral is "bacterial SSU rRNA". It matches the Rfam family "Bacterial small subunit ribosomal RNA", at positions 329 to 794 of the family's 1533-position model. The record is from RNAcentral.
UGCCAGACUCCUACGGGAGGCAGCAGUGGGGGAUAUUGCACAAUGGGGGAAACCCUGAUGCAGCGACGCCGCGUGGGUGAAGAAGCGCCUCGGCGCGUAAAGCCCUGUCAGCAGGGAAGAAAAUGACGGUACCUGAAGAAGAAGCCCCGGCUAACUACGUGCCAGCAGCCGCGGUAAUACGUAGGGGGCAAGCGUUAUCCGGAUUUACUGGGUGUAAAGGGAGCGUAGACGGCAUGGCAAGUCAGAUGUGAAAGCCCGGGGCUCAACCCCGGGACUGCAUUUGAAACUGUGAAACUGGAGUGCAGGAGAGGCAAGCGGAAUUCCUGGUGUAGCGGUGAAAUGCGUAGAUAUCAGGAGGAACACCAGUGGCGAAGGCGGCUUACUGAACUGUAACUGACGUUGAGGCUCGAAAGCGUGGGGAGCAAACAGGAUUAGAUACCCGUGUACA